Molecule: ribosomal RNA, 253 nt
Filed under: uncultured bacterium
Lineage: Bacteria
Description: partial 16S ribosomal RNA
Rfam family: Bacterial small subunit ribosomal RNA
Source: RNAcentral
UACAGAGGGGGCAAGCGUUGUUCGGAAUUACUGGGCGUAAAGGGCGCGUAGGCGGCCUGUUAAGUCGGACGUGAAAUCCCUCGGCUCAACCGGGGAACUGCGUCCGAUACUGGCGGGCUUGAAUUCGGGAGAGGGAUGUGGAAUUCCAGGUGUAGCGGUGAAGUGCGUAGAUAUCUGGAGGAACACCGGUGGCGAAGGCGGCAUCCUGGACCGACAUUGACGCUGAGGCGCGAAAGCCAGGGGAGCAAACGGG